This 253-nucleotide ribosomal RNA is filed under the name uncultured bacterium. RNAcentral describes it as "partial 16S ribosomal RNA". It matches the Rfam family "Bacterial small subunit ribosomal RNA", at positions 524 to 776 of the family's 1533-position model. The record is from RNAcentral.
UACGGAGGGUGCAAGCGUUAAUCGGAAUUACUGGGCGUAAAGCGCGCGUAGGCGGCUUGGUCAGUGAGGUGUGAAAGCCCCGGGCUUAACCUGGGAACUGCAUCUCAUACUGCCAGGCUUGAGUGCAAGAGAGGAGGGUAGAAUUCCUGGUGUAGCGGUGAAAUGCGUAGAUAUCAGGAGGAAUACCAGUGGCGAAGGCGGCCCUCUGGCUUGACACUGACGCUGAGGUGCGAAAGCGUGGGUAGCGAACAGG